UACGGGGGGUGCAACCGUUGCUCGGAAUUAUUGGGCGUAAAGCGCACGUAGGCGGCUCGUUAAGUCGGAUGUGAAAUCCCUCGGCUCAACCGAGGAAGUGCAUCCGAAACUGGCGAGCUUGAGUACGGAAGAGGGUCUCGGAAUUCCCGGUGUAGAGGUGAAAUUCGUAGAUAUCGGGAGGAACACCAGUGGCGAAGGCGGAGACCUGGGCCGAUACUGACGCUGAGGUGCGAAAGCGUGGGGAGCAAACAGG
This 253-nucleotide ribosomal RNA is filed under the name uncultured bacterium. Its description in RNAcentral is "partial 16S ribosomal RNA". It matches the Rfam family "Bacterial small subunit ribosomal RNA", at positions 524 to 776 of the family's 1533-position model. The record is from RNAcentral.